This 497-nucleotide ribosomal RNA is filed under the name uncultured bacterium. RNAcentral's name for it is "partial 16S ribosomal RNA". It matches the Rfam family "Bacterial small subunit ribosomal RNA", at positions 28 to 507 of the family's 1533-position model. The record is from RNAcentral.
GACGAACGCUGGCGGCGUGCCUAAUACAUGCAAGUUGAGCGAUGAAGAUUGGUGCUUGCACCAAUUUGAAGAGCAGCGAACGGGUGAGUAACGCGUGGGGAAUCUGCCUUUGAGCGGGGGACAACAUUUGGAAACGAAUGCUAAUACCGCAUAACAACUUUAAACAUAAGUUUUAAGUUUGAAAGAUGCAAUUGCAUCACUCAAAGAUGAUCCCGCGUUGUAUUAGCUAGUUGGUGAGGUAAAGGCUCACCAAGGCGAUGAUACAUAGCCGACCUGAGAGGGUGAUCGGCCACAUUGGGACUGAGACACGGCCCAAACUCCUACGGGAGGCAGCAGUAGGGAAUCCUCGGCAAUGGACGAAAGUCUGACCGAGCAACGCCGCGUGAGUGAAGAAGGUUUUCGGAUCGUAAAACUCUGUUGGUAGAGAAGAACGUUGGUGAGAGUGGAAAGCUCAUCAAGUGACGGUAACUACCCAGAAAGGGACGGCUAACUACGUG